AACGAACGCUGGCGGCAUGCCGAACACAUGCAAGUCGAACGAGAUCUUCGGGUCUAGUGGCGCACGGGUGCGUAACGCGUGGGAAUCUGCCCUUUGGUUCGGAAUAACAGUUGGAAACGACUGCUAAUACCGGAUGAUGACGAAAGGCCAAAGAUUUAUCGCCAGAGGAUGAGCCCGCGUAGGAUUAGCUAGUUGGUGUGGUAAAGGCGCACCAGGGCGACGAUCCUUAGCUGGACUGAGAGGAUGAUCAGCCACACUGGGACUGAGACACGGCCCAGACUCCUACGGGAGGCAGCAGUGGGGAAUAUUGGACAAUGGGCGAAAGCCUGAUCCAGCAAUGCCGCGUGAGUGAUGAAGGCCUUAGGGUUGUAAAGCUCUUUUACCCGGGAUGAUAAUGACAGUACCGGGAGAAUAAGCUCCGGCUAACUCCGUGCCAGCCGCCGCAGUAA
Molecule: ribosomal RNA, 449 nt
Filed under: uncultured bacterium
Lineage: Bacteria
Description: partial 16S ribosomal RNA
Rfam family: Bacterial small subunit ribosomal RNA
Source: RNAcentral